CCUACGGGAGGCAGCAGUGGGGAAUUUUGGACAAUGGGCGCAAGCCUGAUCCAGCAAUGCCGCGUGAGUGAAGAAGGCCUUCGGGUUGUAAAGCUCUUUUGUCAGGGAAGAAACGGUGGAGGUUAAUACCUUCUGCUAAUGACGGUACCUGAAGAAUAAGCACCGGCUAACUACGUGCCAGCAGCCGCGGUAAUACGUAGGGUGCAAGCGUUAAUCGGAAUUACUGGGCGUAAAGCGUGCGCAGGCGGUUGUGCAAGACAGAUGUGAAAUCCCCGGGCUCAACCUGGGAAUUGCAUUUGUGACUGUACGGCUAGAGUGUGUCAGAGGGGGGUAGAAUUCCACGUGUAGCAGUGAAAUGCGUAGAGAUGUGGAGGAAUACCGAUGGCGAAGGCAGCCCCCUGGGAUAACACUGACGCUCAUGCACGAAAGCGUGGGGAGCAAACAGGAUUAGAUACCCUGGUAGUCCACGCCCUAAACGAUGUCUACUAGUUGUCGGGUCUUUAUUGACUUGGUAACGCAGCUAACGCGUGAAGUAGACCGCCUGGGGANACGGUGCAAGNUUAAAACGUUAAGGAAUUGACGGCUGAGACGNGACGAGACGACGACGAGGGAGGAGG
Molecule: ribosomal RNA, 617 nt
Filed under: uncultured bacterium
Lineage: Bacteria
Description: bacterial SSU rRNA
Rfam family: Bacterial small subunit ribosomal RNA
Source: RNAcentral